CCUACGGGUGGCAGCAGUGGGGAAUUUUGGACAAUGGGCGCAAGCCUGAUCCAGCUAUUCCGCGUGUGGGAUGAAGGUACAGAGUAUCGUAAACCUCUUUUGUCAGGGAACAAAGGCGGGGACGCGUCCCCGGAUGAGUGUACCUGAAGAAAAAGCAUCGGCUAACUCCGUGCCAGCAGCCGCGGUAAUACGGAGGAUGCGAGCGUUAUCCGGAUUUAUUGGGUUUAAAGGGUGCGCAGGCGGUCUGUUAAGUCAGCGGUCAAAGCCCGGGGCUCAACCCCGGCCCGCCGUUGAAACUGGCAGUCUCGAGUUGGAGAGAAGUAGGCGGAAUGCGCGGUGUAGCGGUGAAAUGCAUAGAUAUCGCGCAGAACUCCGAUUGCGAAGGCAGCAUGCCGGCUCCACACUGACGCUGAGGCACGAAAGCGUGGGUAUCGAACAGGAUUAGAUACCCGAGUAGUC
RNAcentral lists this ribosomal RNA (459 nucleotides) under uncultured bacterium. RNAcentral's name for it is "partial 16S ribosomal RNA". It matches the Rfam family "Bacterial small subunit ribosomal RNA", at positions 338 to 795 of the family's 1533-position model. The record is from RNAcentral.